This 420-nucleotide ribosomal RNA is filed under the name uncultured bacterium. RNAcentral's name for it is "bacterial SSU rRNA". It matches the Rfam family "Bacterial small subunit ribosomal RNA", at positions 28 to 449 of the family's 1533-position model. The record is from RNAcentral.
GAUGAACGCUAGCGGCAGGCUUAACACAUGCAAGUCGAACGGCAGCACAGGUAGCAAUACUGGGUGGCGAGUGGCGCACGGGUGCGUAACGCGUAUGCAACCUACCUCUAUCUGGGAGAUAGCCCGAAGAAAUUCGGAUUAAUACCCCAUAAUAUAUGUCUUUCGCAUGUUAGACAUAUUAAAGCUUUGGCGGAUAGAGAUGGGCAUGCGUGACAUUAGCUAGUUGGCGAGGUAACGGCUCACCAAGGCGAAGACGGGUAGCUGGUCUGAGAGGAUGAUCAGCCACACUGGAACUGAGACACGGUCCAGACUCCUACGGGAGGCAGCAGUGGGGAAUAUUGCGCAAUGGGCGAAAGCCUGACGCAGCCACGCCGCGUGAGCGAUGAAGGCCUCGGUCGUAAGCUCUGUGGGAGAGAAGAA